GUUACAAUAAGGGCGUGUGGUGGAUGCCUAGACAUCAAAGAACGAUGAAGGACGUAGCAGCCUGCGAUAAGCUUCGGCGAGGUGGCAAGCAACCUUUGACCCGGAGAUUUCCGAAUGGGGUAACCCGUUCCGUGUAUGCGGAACAUCAUUAACUGAAUUCAUAGGUUAAUGAGGAAGACCUGGGGAAUUGAAACAUCUUAGUACCCAGAGGAAAAGAGAGAAAUAACGGUGAUAAAGUUGAUGGCUGAUCUUUAUUGAUCAGUUAUCCGCUUUAUUACUUUCUAUUCCCUAAGUAGUGGCGAGCGAAAGGGGAAGAGCCUAAACUUUACUUCUAGUUAAGCCAUAGGCACUAAAUAGUUCUUCGGAACUGUUUAGUGUGAUGGUGUAAUGCUCUCAAGGCUAGCACUGAGUAAGGCGUUGAAGGUGGUUACGAUUGGAGCUUGAGAAUCCGAGACAGAGUUUAUCUAGUUUAAUUUUCUAGUUGAAUCCGCUGGAAAGUGGAGCCAAAGAAGGUGAAAGCCCUGUAAAUAAAAGAAAUUAUCGCUCUGUGGUGAUUAACCUGAGUACCUCAGGACACGAGAAAUCCUGGGGGAAGCAAGUACGACUAUGUACUAAGGCUAAAUAUCUUUGAUGAUCGAUAGUGAACAAGUACCGCGAGGGAAAGGUGAAAAGCACCCCGGUGAGGGGGAUGAAAUAGUAUCUGAAACCACAUGUCUACAAAAAGUCGGAGGGCUAUGUCCGCCUUUGGCGGAAAUGCCCGACGGCCUGCCUAUUGAAGAAUGAGCCAACGAGUUUGUGUCUGUUGCCAAAUCUAACUCUUACGAGAGGGAGGUGUAGUGAAAGCGAGGCUUAACAGGCCAUUGUUAUUUUUUUAGUAAGUCCGCCUUUGGCGGAUUCACUAAAAAAUUAACUAGCAGCAGGUACAAGACCCGAAGCCGGGUGACCUAUCCAUGGACAGGAUGAAACCAGCGUAACAACUGGCGGAGGUCCGAACCCACUAGCCGUGCAACACUAGGGGAUGAGCUGUGGAUAGCGGAGAAAUUCCAAUCGAACCCGGCAAUAGCUGGUUCUCCCCGAAAUAGUUAUUGGACUAGCCUCUUAGUGGAGCCUGGGGGUAGAGCACUGGAUGAGGUGAGGAGGGAAACCUUACUCACUUUAACCAAACUCCGAAUACCAGGUACUCUAUACUAAGGGAGUCAGACCGUGGGGGCUAAGCUUCACGAGUCAAAAGGGAAACAGCCCUGGACCCUCAUUUAAGGUCCCAAAAUGUUAGUUAAGUGUCAAAGGUGGUAUUAAUUCUCAAACAACUAGGAGGUUGGCUUAGAAGCAGCCAUCCUUUAAAGAAAGCGUAAUAGCUCACUAGUCGAGAGUUUCUGCGCCGAAAAUGUAACGGGGCUAAACUAACUACCGAAGAUAGGGAUCCUUCAAGCUUCGGCUUGAGGGGUGGUAGGGGAGCAUUUCUUAGUCAUUGAAGCAGUACCGUGAGGAGCUGUGGAGGCUAAGGAAGAGAGAAUGUUGGCAUGAGUAGCACAAAGACUGGCAAAAACCCAGUCCACCGAAAACCCAAGGUUUCCUGGGCAACGCAAAUCGACCCAGGGUUAGGCGGUCCUAAGCUGAGGCCAAAUGGCGUAGGCGAUGGAUGAGCAGGUUAAUAUUCCUGCCCUGCCGUUGAUGAUCGAUGGGGGGACACCGUUUUUAACUUUAAGCGUUUUCAUGAUUUAGACGUUGGCUGCUAGCGUGUGGACUUCUUGGCAAAUCCGGAAGACCAUUAAACACAAUGGCGGUCAGAAGAUCGCGGCUCUCGGGCCAAGGUCAAUUUAAGGGGCGAGACGGGCAAGAAAAACCUCUAAGAGUUUUAAGUCAACGGUAACCGUACCGGAAACCGACACAGGUGGGUGAGGCGAGAAGCCUCAGGUGUACGAGAUAAUCCUCGUUUAGGAACUCGGCAAAAAAGCGUGCGUAACUUCGGGAUAAGCACUGCCUCCGUUUACGGAGGCCGCAGCAAAAGAUCUCAAGCGACUGUUUAUCAAAAACACAGGUCCCUGCAUAAACCGUAAGGUGAAGUAUAGGGGCUGAUGCCUGGCCAGUGUCCGAACGUUAAGGUGAGGGGUGCAAGCUCUGAACUGAAGCGCGGAUGAACGCCGGCCGUAACUAUAACGGUCCUAAGGUAGCGAAAUUCCUUGUCGGGUAAGUUCCGACCUGCACGAAUGGCAUAACGACUUGAGAACUGUCUCAACGAGGAGCUCGGUGAAAUUACAAGACCAGUAAAGAUGCUGGUUACCCGUAGUUGGACGAAAAGACCCCGUGAAGCUUUACUAUAGCUUGGUAUUGGUUUAAGGUUGUUUUUGCUCAGUAUAGGUGGGAAGCUUUGAAGUUCACUUUUCGGAGUGGAUGGAGCUAACGGUGAGAUACCACCCUAAGGCUAUUUUAAAUCUAACACUUGACCUUGAAUCAGGUAAGUGGACAGUAUCUGGUGGGUAGUUUAACUGGGGCGGUUGCCUCCCAAAGAGUAACGGAGGCGUUUACAAAGGUUGGCUAUUCCGGGAUGGAAACCCGGGAGAUAGUGCAAGCGCAUAAGCCAGCUUUACUGCAAGGGCGACAACCCGAGCAGUCGCGAAAGCGGAAGCUAGUGAUCCGACCGUACGAUAUAGGACGGCGGAAGCUCAACGGAUAAAAGCUACUCCGGGGAUAACAGGCUGAUCACGCCCAAGCGUCCACAGCGACGGCGUGGUUUGGCACCUCGAUGUCGGCUCGUCGCAUCCUGGGGGUGUAGAAGCUCCCAAGGGUUUGGCUGUUCGCCAAUUAAAGCGGCACGCGAGCUGGGUUCAGAACGUCGUGAGACAGUUCGGUCUCCUAUCCACUAUGGGCGUUGAAUUUUGAGGGAACUCUUCCCUAGUACGAGAGGACCGGGAAGGACGAACCUCUAGUGUACCAGUUGUCCUAUCAGGGGCAUCGCUGGGUAGCUACGUUCGGUUGUGAUAAGUGCUGAAAGCAUCUAAGCACGAAGCCGAUCCCAAGAUUAGAAUUCGUUAUCAGGCUGGUCAGAGACUAUGACCUUGAUAGGCUCUAGAUGUAAGUUCCGUAAGGAAUUGAGUCGAGGAGUACUAAUAAGCCGAG
RNAcentral lists this ribosomal RNA (3117 nucleotides) under Candidatus Komeilibacteria bacterium CG_4_10_14_0_2_um_filter_37_10. RNAcentral's name for it is "bacterial LSU rRNA". It matches the Rfam family "Bacterial large subunit ribosomal RNA". The record is from RNAcentral. Lineage: Bacteria; Candidatus Komeiliibacteriota.